RNAcentral lists this ribosomal RNA (581 nucleotides) under Lactobacillus sp. BJ32B3. RNAcentral describes it as "bacterial SSU rRNA". It matches the Rfam family "Bacterial small subunit ribosomal RNA", at positions 67 to 626 of the family's 1533-position model. The record is from RNAcentral. Lineage: Bacteria; Bacillati; Bacillota; Bacilli; Lactobacillales; Lactobacillaceae.
UUUCACCGAAUGCUUGCAUUCACCGAAAGAAGCUUAGUGGCGAACGGGUGAGUAACACGUAGGCAACCUGCCCAAAAGAGGGGGAUAACACUUGGAAACAGGUGCUAAUACCGCAUAACCAUGAACACCGCAUGAUGUUCAUGUAAAAGACGGCUUUUGCUGUCACUUUUGGAUGGGCCUGCGGCGUAUUAACUUGUUGGUGGGGUAACGGCCUACCAAGGUGAUGAUACGUAGCCGAACUGAGAGGUUGAUCGGCCACAUUGGGACUGAGACACGGCCCAAACUCCUACGGGAGGCAGCAGUAGGGAAUCUUCCACAAUGGACGAAAGUCUGAUGGAGCAACGCCGCGUGAAUGAAGAAGGCCUUCGGGUCGUAAAAUUCUGUUGUCAGAGAAGAACGUGCGUGAGAGUAACUGUUCACGUAUUGACGGUAUCUGACCAGAAAGCCACGGCUAACUACGUGCCAGCAGCCGCGGUAAUACGUAGGUGGCGAGCGUUGUCCGGAUUUAUUGGGCGUAAAGGGAACGCAGGCGGUCUUUUAAGUCUGAUGUGAAAGCCUUCGGCUUAACCGAAGUAGUGCAU